UAGAGGAUAAUAUCGUUAUGUACUUGUAUCCGGUGUUAACUUUUUCAUUUGGAAAAUCGAAAGAUUUGACCCCACGCUUAUAUUUUUCAGAAAAGAUAUCCACUGAACAAAUCAUCUGAAAACUAAGGCUAAUAGGAGAGGAUGAAGAAUACUUCUGUUAAAAGGUCAAUCCAACUUGAACUUGAAGUGCAAGUGGGUCUUCAAAAAUGUGGACCACUCAAGGACUUUUCUGUUGGUUGAUGAUGGACUACAAACUGAAUAUUUAACAAAGAAAUCCACUUUGGUGCUUAUUGGCUACUAAUGAUGUGAACUUGUGCAUUUAUUAUACCAAGUACUUUUACAUUUCCUUGAUGAUACUAGACUUGCUUAUACCGAAUUCAGGUUUAGUUGAUUGAUUGCAGUUCUAAGUUCCUCUCGCAACAUUAUAUCUCUCAUGUAUGAGACAUCAUUAAAUGCAGACAUUUUCUCUGUCCUCCUGUUGUGACAUGAGAGCUCGGACUUAGUUGUAAAAAUAUUUAUGAUGCAAGAGAAAAUAAAUGGCCAAGCCAAUGUAUGUAAAUGUUGAUAAUAAUAUUAAAUAUUCUUUGAUAACUAG
This is a long non-coding RNA of Saccostrea cuccullata (small rock oyster), 595 nucleotides long. RefSeq lists it as uncharacterized. The transcript is spliced from 3 exons. Lineage: Eukaryota; Metazoa; Mollusca; Bivalvia; Ostreida; Ostreidae. The record is from RefSeq and is a predicted model, not a curated record.